AUGUUCUCCCAGCCCCCACAGCAUGUGGCUGCGGCUCUGCUCAGCCCUCGGCCCCACCGCCACGGGGCCGUGCUGGGAGAUGAAAGGAGCCCCCCCGCCCCCGUCCCCCCGGCUCCCCGCCCCAACGGCGGCCGGGGGCAGCCCCGGGCACUGCCCCAGGGCUCCGGUACCGGGGGGCUCCGGUCCCCGUGGCGCCGCUCCGGGGGGAGGCGAGGGGCUGCAGCGGGCGGGGGCCGGGGCGCACCGCCCCCGGGGGGCACUGCCCUGCUCCGGGACCGGCACCGGGACCGCGGCCGGGCCGGGCGGGGGCGGCCCCGUGGCGGAGCCGCGUCCCGGCGGGCGGCACCGGCGCGGCCCGGGGGGAGGGCGCUGGCGGCCGCCCGGUGCCCACGUGGUUUCUCGGUGGCUCCGGAGCGGAAGAAACGGCGGCGGCCGGGGCCGGGGCUGCGGCGGGGGCGGUCGGGACCGGGGCUGGAACCGGGACCGGGGCUGACACCGGCACCGACACCGCGACCGGGGCCGGGGGGAAGGAGCCGCAUCCCGGCGGGCGCCGCCGCCGCCGCGCCUCCCGGUGAGUGCGGGGCCUGGGCCGGGGGCGGGCAGCGGGGGAGGGAACCGGAACCGGGCUCCCCCCGCCCGGGCCGGGCUCGCCGCGGCCCCGCUGCUGCCCGGCGGCUCCCGGCCUCCUCGGGCCCGUUCCCGGCCCCGCUGCCGUCCCCUCCUCCGGCCCGGCCCCCUCCCGUUCCCGGCCCCUUGCCCGUCCCCGUCGCCAUCCUCGCUCGCCCCCCCCGGGCCCCGUCUUUGUCCCCAUCCCCGCCCCGCUGCCCACCCCGACCCCUCCUGCGCCUUUGUCCCCGGCUCCAUCCCUGGCCCCGACCCCCCCCCCGGUUCCCCCUGCCGCCCCCCGCCCCCCCCCCCGGUGCCGUGCGGGCUCCCGGGCAGCCCCGGCAGGGGGGAGUCUGGGGGGGGGCUCGGGGCGCGUUGCCGGGGGCGCCGAAGAGCCGCAGACCCCGGGGUCGCGGGGGUGUCCCCCCCCCCCCCCCAGCCUCGUGCACACGCACGUGCGCGCCGCCGCACCGGGGCCUCGUGCCCGCCGCGCCCCCGGCCCGCUCCGGGACCCCCGGGCUCGCCGCUUCUCCCGGGGUGCGCCCCCCGCCCGCUCGCCCCCCUCGUACCUGCACGGCCGCCAGCCCCCCCCGCAGCCCCCCAGCCCUGGGGAGCCGGGUGCCGGAGCUGGCCCCGUCCCUGCCCGCUCCCAUCGCCGUGCCGGGGGGCUGCAGCCCCGGUUUCGCUCUCUUUAACGGCGUCCGCAGGCCUCCCGGAGGGGCCGGCUGCUGGCAGCCAGGAGGGAGCGAAGCCGCCCGGAGCCUCGGGGACCUCCUGCCGCGGCCCUGGAGCCCGAUGCCAUCGCCGCCGCCUCGCACUGAGCCUCUCGCGGCCGACCCGCCGAGCGCCCGCCGGCCGCAGCUCGCUGCCCGCGCCUGA
Molecule: long non-coding RNA, 1485 nt
Filed under: Cairina moschata (Muscovy duck)
Lineage: Eukaryota; Metazoa; Chordata; Aves; Anseriformes; Anatidae
Description: domestica (muscovy Duck (domestic type)) lncRNA (ENSCMMG00000009071.1)
Source: RNAcentral